Molecule: transfer-messenger RNA, 409 nt
Filed under: Candidatus Saccharimonadota bacterium
Lineage: Bacteria; Candidatus Saccharimonadota
Also listed under: 1 other name
Rfam family: transfer-messenger RNA
About the family: Bacterial tmRNA, also known as 10Sa RNA or SsrA, is named for its dual tRNA and mRNA-like properties. Its role is to liberate the mRNA from a stalled ribosome.
Source: RNAcentral
GGGGCUGUAAAGCUUGACAUUUGGACAUUUACAAGUUGGUGCCAGCAGGUCGGGUCGUCUGAACGUUAUCCGGACAAAUUAAUAGAUGCAAAAGUAUCUGAUCGUGUAGCUGGUCUUAGCUCUGCAUUCGUAGAUUCUCUACGUAGCGCAUUUGCUAACCCAGUUGCCACUGUAGCCUAAUUUGGUUACGACUGAUUAUCUGACAUCAGAUAAGAGAAGUCAGUCUUAUAUUUUCUGAUUGCUUAGGUUGUAUGACCCAUAUAACCUACUAAGAUUUAGGGUUGCAGUGUUUGAUGUUUUUGCUUGCCUACAUUAUCAAAUACUAAAGAAACCUUUUGAGACAAGAUAAACCUGUAGAAAGCCAAUGAGUAACCGAAUGGACGCGGGAUCAUACUCGCCAGCUCCACCA